AGAUUGUGUGAUGGUAUUUAAGAUUGUGUGAUGCUUGUGGUUGUUGAAUGUGACUGAAUUCUGACUUGAGGUCAACAUAUAAUAAUAAUCUACAAGUCUUGUAACAGAAAAUAUGUUUACCACUAUGCUUACUGAAAUUAAUUCAUGAAAUGACCGAUUAAGAUUCCAAUUUUUUCUUGUAACAGAGCAAUCAUAUAGUCGCAC
RNAcentral lists this long non-coding RNA (204 nucleotides) under Panax ginseng (ginseng). RNAcentral describes it as "long non-coding RNA (PGIN_LNC001298)". Lineage: Eukaryota; Viridiplantae; Streptophyta; Magnoliopsida; Apiales; Araliaceae. The record is from RNAcentral.